GGCGGCAUAGCCAAGUGGUAAGGCAGAGGAUUGCAAAUCCUUUAUGCCCCAGUUCGAAUCUGGGUGCCGCCU
This 72-nucleotide transfer RNA is filed under the name Merotricha bacillata. RNAcentral describes it as "tRNA-Cys". It matches the Rfam family "tRNA". From Rfam's summary of the family: Transfer RNA (tRNA) molecules are approximately 80 nucleotides in length. Their secondary structure includes four short double-helical elements and three loops (D, anti-codon, and T loops). The record is from RNAcentral. Lineage: Eukaryota; Raphidophyceae; Chattonellales; Vacuolariaceae.